AUACGAAGGUGGCAAGCGUUGUUCGGCUUCACUGGGCAUAAAGGGCGUGUAGGCGGUCCAGAAAGCGGCUUGUGAAAUCCCGGAGCUCAACUCCGGAACUGCUGGCUGAACUACUGGGCUCGAGGGCAGGAGGGGGGUGUGGAACUCUAGGUGUAGCGGUGAAAUGCGUAGAUAUCUAGAGGAACGCCGGUGGCGAAAGCGACACCCUGGCCUGUUUCUGACGCUGAGGCGCGAAAGCGUGGGUAGCAAACAGGAUUAGAGACCCUAGUAGUCC
This 274-nucleotide ribosomal RNA is filed under the name uncultured bacterium. RNAcentral's name for it is "partial 16S ribosomal RNA". It matches the Rfam family "Bacterial small subunit ribosomal RNA", at positions 523 to 796 of the family's 1533-position model. The record is from RNAcentral.